Molecule: ribosomal RNA, 279 nt
Filed under: uncultured bacterium
Lineage: Bacteria
Description: partial 16S ribosomal RNA
Rfam family: Bacterial small subunit ribosomal RNA
Source: RNAcentral
UGCCAGCCGCCGCGGUAAUACGGAGGAUCCACGCGUUAUCCGGAAUUAUUGGGUUUAAAGGGUCCGCAGGCUGUUUGUUAAGUCAGGGGUGAAAUCCUACCGCUCAACCGUAGAAUUGCCUUUGAUACUGUUAGACUUGAGUUAUUGUGAAGUAAUUAGAAUGUGUAGUGUAGCGGUGAAAUGCAUAGAUAUUACACAGAAUACCGAUUGCGAAAGCAGAUUACUAACAAUACACUGACGCUGAGGGACGCAAGCGUUGGUCGCGAACAGGAUUAGAUA